UUACAGAUGUGAAAAAAGUCAAUAUCUCUCUGUCUUUUCUCUGGAUCAUUCAUUUACAAAGUUCUUUAAAAGAAGAAAACCGAUCGACCAUUCUCCGCGGAAGAUAGGUAAACAUUUGACGAGCGAAAAAAAACACGUGAGAAAGACCGAAAAACCCAUUCUCCCUAAAUGGUUUACCUAUACUGAAUGGAAGGUUUAUGACAUGGGAAGAUUUUCCAGAAUAUGAGCAAGGGUAAAGGAUUCAUCACUUGCUGGGCUUUCAGGGAGUAAUAGGAGGG
This 278-nucleotide long non-coding RNA is filed under the name Setaria italica (foxtail millet). Its description in RNAcentral is "long non-coding RNA (SITA_LNC002301)". The record is from RNAcentral. Lineage: Eukaryota; Viridiplantae; Streptophyta; Magnoliopsida; Poales; Poaceae.